UACCUUGUGGUGCAUGCACUGUGUAAAUAUGAACACAGAGCAUGUACCAUAUUGUGCAUGCU
This 62-nucleotide microRNA precursor is filed under the name Gadus morhua (Atlantic cod). RNAcentral's name for it is "microRNA gmo-mir-11184a precursor". Lineage: Eukaryota; Metazoa; Chordata; Actinopteri; Gadiformes; Gadidae. The record is from miRBase by way of RNAcentral.